Hydra vulgaris (swiftwater hydra) is the source of this 295-nucleotide non-coding RNA. NCBI's taxonomy places the organism in Eukaryota, Metazoa, Cnidaria, Hydrozoa, Anthoathecata, Hydridae. The record is from RefSeq and is a predicted model, not a curated record.
AAUUUGGUAGCAAUGAAUAAAAGAAAACUAAAUGCAUUUUAUAGGCUUUAUAUAUAGCUGUAUAAAAAUUACUUUAAAACAACAAUCAACUCAAUGAUACAACGGCUAUUUUGAACAUUAGAGUUCAUUUACAUGAAGACGGUUACGUGUGGUGAAAUCAUAAACUUUGUUAUGAUAGUGUAUAAAAAAGACAUUAUAAUCAAUGGUUACAUCAUGGAAUAAUUCUAGAUUUUUAUUUUUUGUUUAAAAAAGAAAAUAUCUAAUCAAGGUUGUUUUAUAUAAAGAUUAAUUGUCA